Molecule: ribosomal RNA, 498 nt
Filed under: Olidiana rufofasciana
Lineage: Eukaryota; Metazoa; Arthropoda; Insecta; Hemiptera; Cicadellidae
Description: partial large subunit ribosomal RNA
Rfam family: Archaeal large subunit ribosomal RNA (bases 372-498)
Source: RNAcentral
UAUGGUUUCUAUAUAAAGUAGUUUCUGCCCAAUGACUUAUUUAAAUGGCUGCAGUAUAUUGACUGUACAAAGGUAGCAUAGUAAUUAGUUUUUUAAUUGGAAACUUGAAUGAAAGGAUAAAUGAAAUAUUAUCUUUAUUAAUUUUAUUAUUAGAAUUUUAUUUUUUGGUUAAAAAGCUAAAUAGUUUUUUAGGGACGAUAAGACCCUAUAGAAUUUAAAAUAUUAAUUUAUUGAAUUAUUUUUAGGUUAAAUUUGUUCAUUUAAUUUAAAUUUUUAAUUGGGGUGAUUAAUAAAUUUCACUUUAUUUAUUUAAUUCAUUAAUAUAUGUUUAUUUGAUCCUUUAUUAAGAUUAUAAGAUAAAUUACCUUAGGGAUAACAGCGUAAUUUUGAUGGAAAGUUCAUAUUAAAAUUAAAGUUUGCGACCUCGAUGUUGAAUUAAGAUAAUUUUAUGGUGUAGAAGCUUUAAUUGUAAGUCUGUUCGACUUUUAUAAUCUUACA